CCCUUAGAUGUCCGGGGCCGCACGCGCGCUACACUGAAGGAAUCAGCGUGGCUUUCUCCCUGACCCGAAAGGGUUGGGAAACCCGUUGAAUCUCCUUCGUGAUAGGGAUUGGGGCUUGAAAUUGUUCCCCAUGAACGAGGAAUUCCCAGUAAGCGCGAGUCAUAAGCUCGCGUUGAUUACGUCCCUGCCCUUUGUACACACCGCCCGUCGCUACUACCGAUUGGACGGUUUAGUGAGGGCCUCGGAUUGGUCUCGGCCCGCUCUUUACCGGGCGGCGCCGUUGGUCGAGAAGACGCUCGAACUUGAUCGUUUAGAGGAAGUAAAAGUCGUAACA
RNAcentral lists this ribosomal RNA (334 nucleotides) under uncultured eukaryote. RNAcentral describes it as "partial 18S ribosomal RNA". It matches the Rfam family "Eukaryotic small subunit ribosomal RNA", at positions 1470 to 1796 of the family's 1831-position model. The record is from RNAcentral.